AACUUUCAACAAUGGAUCUCUUGGUUCUGGCAUCGAUGAAGAACGCAGCGAAAUGCGAUAAGUAGUGUGAAUUGCAGACUUUAGUGAAUCAUCGAAUUUUUGAACGCACAUUGCGCCCCUUGGUAUUCCAUUGGGCAUGCCUGUUCGAGCGUCAU
This 155-nucleotide ribosomal RNA is filed under the name Trichobotrys effusa. Its description in RNAcentral is "5.8S ribosomal RNA". It matches the Rfam family "5.8S ribosomal RNA". Rfam says of the family: 5.8S ribosomal RNA (5.8S rRNA) is a component of the large subunit of the eukaryotic ribosome. It is transcribed by RNA polymerase I as part of the 45S precursor that also contains 18S and 28S rRNA. Lineage: Eukaryota; Fungi; Ascomycota; Dothideomycetes; Pleosporales. The record is from RNAcentral.